AAGUCGUAACAAGGUUUCCGUAGGUGAACCUGCGGAAGGAUCAUUAAAGAAUAUCGAGCUUCACAGCUCUUAUUCUCACCCUUUGUAUAAUCUAAAUCUUUUGGUUGCUUUGGCAGUCGCCUUUGACGGGCCCUGCCAGGAGGACCGAAACCCUAGAAUCUCUGCCGUCUGAGUACUAUAUAAUAGUUAAAA
RNAcentral lists this unclassified non-coding RNA (192 nucleotides) under plant metagenome. RNAcentral describes it as "partial contains small subunit ribosomal RNA and internal transcribed spacer 1". The stretch from base 1 to 46 matches the Rfam family "Eukaryotic small subunit ribosomal RNA", at positions 1786 to 1831 of the family's 1831-position model. The record is from RNAcentral.